UACGAAGGGGGCUAGCGUUGUUCGGAAUCACUGGGCGUAAAGCGCACGUAGGCGGAUCUUUAAGUCAGGGGUGAAAUCCCGAGGCUCAACCUCGGAACUGCCUUUGAUACUGGGGAUCUCGAGUCCGGGAGAGGUGAGUGGAACUGCGAGUGUAGAGGUGAAAUUCGUAGAUAUUCGCAAGAACACCAGUGGCGAAGGCGGCUCACUGGCCCGGUACUAACGCUGAGGUGCGAAAGCGUGGGGAGCAAACAGG
RNAcentral lists this ribosomal RNA (253 nucleotides) under uncultured bacterium. RNAcentral's name for it is "partial 16S ribosomal RNA". It matches the Rfam family "Bacterial small subunit ribosomal RNA", at positions 524 to 776 of the family's 1533-position model. The record is from RNAcentral.